This is a long non-coding RNA of Gambusia affinis (western mosquitofish), 1705 nucleotides long. RefSeq lists it as uncharacterized. The transcript has 4 exons. The record is from RefSeq and is a predicted model, not a curated record. NCBI's taxonomy places the organism in Eukaryota, Metazoa, Chordata, Actinopteri, Cyprinodontiformes, Poeciliidae.
UGCUGCUUCACCCAGAGGUCAGCUUACUGGUGACCUCUCCUUUAGUGGACCAAGUAGCUCUUCCCAGGUGGACCAAGUAUCCCAGGAGACCCGGUGUGACUACAGAGGUUUUCCUGGAUGGGAGGCAGUUGACAGCUUGGCAGAGUACCGCUUGAGCCUCAACAGAACAAUAACUGCGUUGUCAACAACAGAGGUAGAAAAUGUCUUGCAGCUGUAUUCUAACCUGCAUGCUAUGGACAAGCAGCCUGCUAAAUACACCUUAAAAAGCAAGAAGAGCACAUUACCAGGACCUUGGAGGACUUCCCGGAAAUGAAGUGGCUCUGCACCUGGUCAGCAAGCAGCUGAAAGAUUCUUCAUGACCCAUGGCCAGGCUGCCCAGAGACCUGACUCAAACAGAGUGUCUGAGUGCAUUUGCCUCAAGUUGUUCAAAGAAUACCAGCAAGCAAGAAACCGGCCAAAAGACAGCAAGGGGAAGGUUCUACCCGUCCUGCAGUCUAUUGUUCAGACGUACUGUCACAUCAAACAAUUACUUGAGGACUCCAGGCCCAUACAUGUGCUUGGCUACAUGAGCGGCAGAAGAGAACAGACAGGGACACUCUUCUCCAAGGUGUGAAUCUUCCUCCGAAGGUGUCCGUGGCUGACGCCUCCUUCCCAGAAGCGAGACAGUUCCCCUCCCUUCCUGUGGAACAUGGACAUACAAGCAUGGAGUUUAAAGAACCUGAAAAUAGAGAAGGCGAGGCACUGAUCCGUCAACGGGUUGGUGGUAAAGCUGGCUCCGCACAGCGAUAUCCUCCCUCAUACCAGCCAGGACUCUUUUCACAGGCCGCAGUUCCUCCCAGCUUCCUGUAUCCACAGACUGACCAGCCACCAUCAUCUGCUUGGUCCUACUGUGAGCAGAACCAGAUGCCACAAGCGCCAUCCGCUUCUUUGGGUUUCUGCUUCGGUCCACCAGCUCCAGUUUUGACCUCAUUUGGACAAGGACAGUUCCCACCCCUGCCAUCUUCUCUGGUUCAAAUGUAUCGGUACUAUACACCACCACUUCACUCAUCCAUCCCAGCAGCUGCUGCUGGUUCAGCAUCAUCAUCACCAUCAGAUCAGGCUCCAGCCAACAUGAAUCGCUCCAGGAAGUGGAGACAGAAUCAGUAGACCAGGAACGCCUGGCAAGAGGGGAGCCUCUCAAAAAGCGCCAAUGGAAGCAGGACUACCACUAUCAGUGUUCAGUUUGUGGUCAGGCGAAAAACAAAAGCACUGGCCACACACAGAUUAAGGGAAAAUGCUACUGUCCAGCCUCUGGACAGACUGUUUUGGAAUGGAAAGAGUCUCUUGGGAAGCAGUGAUUGAAAGAUUUUCUUUUUAGUUUUCAUCUGUAAAUAUAAUCUCAUCAUUUGUGUUUUAAAGCCCAUAAUUGUUUGUAAACUUCAAAAGGCCGACUGCCAUGUUAUGAGGGCUUAUCAAUAACUGGAUUGGUCUUUAUUCCUCUUUGUUCACUUUCAGUGAAAGAACUCUAUUUAUAUUUCUGAAAUUUGCUGUCAAACUAAAUCUGUGUUAUUCUGUGUUUAGUUACAGAAAAUGACAUUAAGUUUUGUUGAUAUAUACACUAAAAUAUGUUUUGGUCUUUCUACCUAUUUUUAUAAUAUUUUUUUCUGUAAAAAAUUGUGGUUUUUUGCGAGUUUCCAGUUUUCAGAGGAUUGAAAUUUAAGCAUUU